Molecule: ribosomal RNA, 412 nt
Filed under: uncultured bacterium
Lineage: Bacteria
Description: bacterial SSU rRNA
Rfam family: Bacterial small subunit ribosomal RNA
Source: RNAcentral
UAUUGGUCAAUGGGCUUACGCCUGAACCAGCCAAGUCGCGUGCGGGAAGACUGCCCUAUGGGUUGUAAACCUCUUUUGUCAGGGAGCAAUUGGCGCUACGUGUAGCGUUAUCGAGAGUACCUGAAGAAAACGAAUCGGCUAACUACGUGCCAGCAGCCGCGGUAAUACGGAGGAUGCGAGCGUUAUCCGGAUUUAUUGGGUUUAAAGGGUGCGUAGGCGGAAUGCCAAGUCAGCGGUAAAAUCGCGGGGCUCAACCUCGCUCCGCCGUUGAAACUGGCGUUCUUGAGUGGGCGACAAGUAUGCGGAAUGCGUGGUGUAGCGGUGAAAUGCAUAGAUAUCACGAAGAACUCCGAUUGCGAAGGCAGCAUACCGGCGCCCAACUGACGCUGAAGCACGAAAGCGUGGGUAUCGA